GGGGUGGGACCCUCCGUGUCUGUAUCGCGGGGAACUUUGUGUGAGAUGAGCAACACCGAGCUGCGGCUGAGGAGCCGGCUGUUAGUAGUGAACAGAAUGAAUAACUGCUCCGGCCAGGAAUGUCCCGUGUAACCAGAUUUCAGAAAUAAAGAGGACAAAAAGCAGCAUUCCCAGUGAAAAGAUAUCUUCAUACACUGCCCUUGCCAUCAAUGGAUCAAAGAUUAAAAGAUCUUUAGCAGUGGAGGCUGAAAGAGGCUUGGCUGAGUGACAACUGAAAGGAUACCUGAAAGUGAAUUUGGAAAGUGCAGGAAGGAUAUUGCAACGUUCUCACGUGUGUCCCGUACUCGUUUUCCUGCAGAGUGUUGGAAAUCUGUUUCAAAAUCUGUCACUUUGGCUGACCUUUGGGAAGCCUCCAUUGAUGU
Molecule: long non-coding RNA, 422 nt
Organism: Lagopus leucura (white-tailed ptarmigan)
Lineage: Eukaryota; Metazoa; Chordata; Aves; Galliformes; Phasianidae
Exons: 4
Source: RefSeq, a predicted model, not a curated record